UACGUAGGGGGGCAAGCGUUGUCCGGAAUCAUUGGGCGUAAAGGGCGCGUAGGCGGCUUUGUAAGUCGGGGGUGAAAGCCUGUGGCUCAACCACAGAAUUGCCCUUCGAUACUGUAUGGGCUUGAGACCGGAAGAGGUAAGUGGAACUGCGAGUGUAGAGGUGAAAUUCGUAGAUAUUCGCAAGAACACCAGUGGCGAAGGCGGCUUACUGGUCCGGUUCUGACGCUGAGGCGCGAAAGCGUGGGGAGCAAACAGG
This 256-nucleotide ribosomal RNA is filed under the name uncultured bacterium. RNAcentral describes it as "partial 16S ribosomal RNA". It matches the Rfam family "Bacterial small subunit ribosomal RNA", at positions 524 to 776 of the family's 1533-position model. The record is from RNAcentral.